Molecule: long non-coding RNA, 597 nt
Organism: Cygnus olor (mute swan)
Lineage: Eukaryota; Metazoa; Chordata; Aves; Anseriformes; Anatidae
Exons: 4
Source: RefSeq, a predicted model, not a curated record
GACUUUUGUAACAGGAACACUGGAAAGUGACAUGCAGUUCUUCUUUGUCUGUCUUCCCAGUCAGAGAGCCUGGUAUAAGAGAGCCUGUCUAAUGAUAAAUGGCAGAAUGAUGGUUUCAAGGCAACUCAAGAUGUCUAUGGAUGAAACCUUUGCUGAAUGACCUAUGCUACAAAGGACAGGAGAGGACAAGAUGCAGAAGAUUAUGCACCUAUUAAUGGUUGCAUGAUCUAAGAGAAAAUGUCCUUGAACCAAGAAAUCAUUGAUAUACUGAAUCUCUUAGAAAAUCUGCAGAGCAUUUGAGGAUCUAGAGAAGUAAAACACAAGGUUAGAAGAGGAAAGGAAUCCGAAAGACAAACCUAUACUGUUCAUGAUGUGGGACAGGUGUCAUCAUAACCUGUGACCUGUUCUUGUGAUCCUGACAAGUUACCUACAGAGACAGGAACACAUCAUGGACUUAUUACUGGACAAUAUGCUGGAUAUAAUAUGGUCACACCUAAUAAACUGAAAUUGAAUAACAGGUCUGUACAAAAAUACAAAAAUAAAAAAAAAUCUUUUGUGGUAAGACCUUAGAACUUCAAGGCUGAGAUAUUUUUAUUG